GACGAACGCUGGCGGCGUGCUUAACACAUGCAAGUCGAGCGGUAAGGCCCUUUCGGGGGUACGACGAGCGGCGAACGGGUGAGUAACACGUGGGUGACCUGCCCUCAGCUCUGGGAUAAGCCUGGGAAACUGGGUCUAAUACCGGAUAUGACUCCAUGAUGCAUGUUGUGGGGUGGAAAGCCUUGUGCGGCUGAGGAUGGGCCCGCGGCCUAUCAGCUUGUUGGGGGGUGA
This 231-nucleotide ribosomal RNA is filed under the name uncultured bacterium. RNAcentral's name for it is "partial 16S ribosomal RNA". It matches the Rfam family "Bacterial small subunit ribosomal RNA", at positions 28 to 259 of the family's 1533-position model. The record is from RNAcentral.